AGAGCCUGCAUGUCGUACAUGGUGCUCAGAUGGUCCCAAAUCACUUUGGAAGAAAUCUGCCGUCCGAUAUUCUGACUGAAUUUAUCUCGGAUACAAAUCAUGUGAAAAUGGCGAUUCACACCUACGGGCUUGUGGCCCAACAUGGCGUGGAAGAGGCAAACCUCCACUUCGGGGCUCCACACCACCACCGCCUCCUCUGCCGGCACGCCGGGCUCCGGGGCGGAAGCAGCCGCCGCCGCGGCGGCCGCAACAGCAGCGGCGGCGGCAGCGACCGCCGCGGCGGUCCCGGGGCCGGCCGCGGGCAGCGGCGGUUUCUCCACAGCGGCGGCCGCGCCGCCCUCCGCCUCGCCCAUGGCCGCGCCGAGCCGUGCUGUGCCGUGCCGAGCCGUGCCGCCGCGCGGCGCCCUCUGCCGUUCCCCCGCAGCGGCUCCUGGCGGCCGGAGGGGCGGGCUGGGCGCGCUACCCGCCCUGUGCUGGAGGGGGGGCAGUUCUGAGGGGUUUCACCUCAGGUUUUCGCUCCAGCCGCUGCCAAAAGGGAGAUUUCACGCGGGGAAGGCACUGCGCGCCUCAGUAUCCCGAACUGCUCGUCACUGUUUCGGCGCUGUCAUUUUUUUUAGGAACUGUUGGUGCUCAAGGGGUAACUACACCUCAUGUUGGAAAAGUGCAGAACUCACCUCUUGUGCUCGUCACUUAAGGCAUGAAAGUGUUUCAUUU
Molecule: long non-coding RNA, 714 nt
Filed under: Gallus gallus (chicken)
Lineage: Eukaryota; Metazoa; Chordata; Aves; Galliformes; Phasianidae
Source: RNAcentral